RNAcentral lists this ribosomal RNA (253 nucleotides) under uncultured bacterium. RNAcentral describes it as "partial 16S ribosomal RNA". It matches the Rfam family "Bacterial small subunit ribosomal RNA", at positions 524 to 776 of the family's 1533-position model. The record is from RNAcentral.
UACAGAGGGGGCAAGCGUUGUCCGGCAUCAUUGGGCGUAAAGCGCGUGUAGGCGGCCCAGUAAGUCCGCUCUGAAAGCCCGGGGCUCAACCCCGGGAGGCGGGUGGAUACUGCUGGGCUCGAGUCCGGAAGAGGCGAGUGGAAUUCCUGGUGUAGCGGUGAAAUGCGUUGAUAUCAUCAGGAACACCGGUGGCGAAGGCGGCUCUCUGGAUCUUUUCUGACGCUGAGGCACGAAAGCUAGGGGAGCAAACGGG